Caretta caretta (loggerhead turtle) is the source of this 2517-nucleotide long non-coding RNA. RefSeq lists it as uncharacterized. Lineage: Eukaryota; Metazoa; Chordata; Testudines; Cheloniidae. The record is from RefSeq and is a predicted model, not a curated record.
UUAGCGGCGCGGGCCCUGCCCCCACAGCGGCGAGCGAGGGUUGCCGCCGCCGCCCAGACUCCGGCUCGCUCGGUGCGUCCGCCGGGCGGCGCCGCGCGCAGAGGUGGCUCAGGCACCGUGGCCCGCGCUACACAGCGGCAGCUCCGCACCCGACUCCUCAGAGCCGUGGGGAGCCAGUUCCCCCGCCCCCUGCGGUGCGCUGAUUGCUGGGCCCGGGCAGGUGCGGGAGCUGCAGUCUCCAGCCCCGGGUGCCCGGACGGCUCGUCACAACGAUCGCUUGUAAGGACGAACGGCUGCUCCGCGUUUCUGCCCUGAAGCGCUGUUACUGCCCGGAAGAGAAGGAGGCUCCCCACAAGCCCCACACCGCCUUGCUUGUUGAUUGGUCGGGAGCAGGAUUCCCAGCAAGCCACUUUCAGCUCCCCUUGUUGGUUUUACUUCACCAAGGGCGUCUCGACGCUACAAACUUAAGUCCACCUACAGCCACUGUAGUAAAUGCGGUCCUGUCCGCACUACCCUCCUUCUGUCCCUGCUGCCCGUCCUUGCCAGGAGUGCUUUCACGGACUUAAAAAGGGUAGUGUGGAGGCAACAGCCUGGCUUGGAGUGGGGAGCCAGGAGCAGCAACGCUCUAGCUGGAGGCCCCAGUCACCUCAGGGUGACACCAGAGCUGUGAGCCUGUUUGGUUUUUUUGGUCAAUUUCAUGGCUCCCUGCUGGAGUCAUGAAAUUCACAAGAAUGACAGGGAACAGCUGAGGUAAGUAACCCUUAGUAUACAUGGACAUUGCCUUGUCCUAAUUACACCAACAUAAGCCCUAUGCCUCUUGUGGAGGUGGAGUUACUUUGUCAUUUUGUUAGUGGAGUAGGGCACUUACAUCAGGGGGAGCACAACCUAACUAGUAUAGACCAAACCUGAGAUUGGAGCUUGUGUCCACACUAGUCUGGAAAUUGCCAACCUUAGCUCUUGUGUAGACUGGCCACACUGUGUUUUAACUCUCCUCUUGUCAGCUACACAGAGGCCUGUUCUACACUACAAAGUUAGGUCGAUUCAAGGCAGCUUACGUCAAUCUAGUUGCGCAUGUACACUUAAAUUGGUCUCCCAACCACAUAAGUGCCCCCUUACUCCGACAUAGUAACACCAUCUCCCCAAGCAGCUUAAAGCCACAAUCAAUGUACUCAGGUGAAUGCAAUGCAAGCAUAGAACCUGUGUUACUUAUUUUGACCCUAACUGUCCUCUAGCAGCUGUCCUACAGUGCCUCACAUGGACUGCUCUGGUCAUCAAUGUGAAUUCCAUUGCUCAGGGGUCAUGGAGACCAGAAUUCCCCCUGCCUCUUUAAGGCCCCACAAAUUUUUGAAACUCCUUUUUCCUGAUUGCCCAACUUGGCAAACACACCUAUCAGCUCUCCAUUGUUGAGUGCAACUACCCAGCUGAUUAUGCUGGCUCCAUGCUCUAGCACAUUCAUGUCUGGAGUAGACAGGUGAUACUGGAUUUUCUGGUCAUAUGGGGAGAGGAGGCUAUGAAGGCACAGCUCCAAACCAGCCUAGAAAUAUCAACAUCUAUGAGUGGAUUGUUCAGCAGAUGCAGGAGAAGGGGUACAACAGGGACUAGCAGCAGUGUCGCCAAGGAGCUGCAGCAGGCAUACCAGAAGGCCAGGGAGGACAACGAAUGGAUGUGAUACUAAGCUGCAGACCUGCAACUUUUACUACGUGUGUCAUGCUGCAUGCUAUACUCAACAGAGACACCGCCCCCAACCCCCACAGCAGCAUGGAUACCUGCAAGGAGCCUGAGUCACAGACACCUGCUGUGAACACGGAGGAGGAGGAGGUGGUAGUGGUUGAGGAGGAGGAUAAUGGGCGACAGGUGCCCAGGGGAUCCAGGUACACAGCAAGCCAGGACCUGUUUUUGACCCCACUGCAGUCUAGUCAGUUCACCAGUCGAGCCCAAUGUAAGGGAAGGCAGCUGCCAUUGCCUAGCCUUUAGGGUUCCCCCUUCACACCCAACACCCGAGUCAGAUAAGGAGGAGAAAGAAGAGGACUUGGGAUGACAAGUUCAGUGAGAUCCGAAAGCCAGUGCAGCGUUGGACCAUGAGCACAUCAAGGGAUGAACAUUGCAGAAUGAACAUUGUAGGCAGCUUGGAGAAGGAAAGAGUGGAGAGGAGAAAGGCUCAAGAGUCCCAGCAAGAAAAGGAGGGAGAUGCACCGAGACAUAGUGAGGCUUCUCAGGCAGCAAACACGGAUGCUAUAGAUCCUGGGCUUGCUUCCCUCUGCAGCCCAUUGAGAACUCAAUAUCAGGACCUCCCCAAAUCCCCCCCCCACACACACACACACACAUACAUAUAUUUUGUGGGGCUAUUGUUGCACUACCCCUAACCGUCCACCCCAGAGGAAAUUAAAGACAAACAGAGCUUCAGGUACACUAACUGUGGCUUUCACAGGUUAGUGUAUGUGUAGCUGAAAUAGAUAUGAAUGUUUUCCCCUUCAUAAUUUCUGUUUUCUUAAUAAAAUUUACAAAUUACAUUUUUUA